AGCAGCCGCGGUAAUUCCAGCUCCAAUAGCGUAUAUUAAAGUUGUUGCAGUUAAAAAGCUCGUAGUUGAAUUUCGGGAUUGACACAUCGGUCGUGCCUUAAGGGGUAUGAACUGGUGUAGUCAAUUUCUCACCUUCCGGAGAACCGCGAUGCCCUUAAUUGGGUGUCACGGGGAACCAGGACCUUUACUUUGAAAAAAUUAGAGUGUUUAAAGCAGGCAUUUUGCUUGAAUACAUUAGCAUGGAAUAAUAAAAUAGGACGGCAUGAUUCUAUUUUGUUGGUUUCUAGGAUCACCGUAAUGAUUAAUAGGGAUAGUUGGGGGCAUUAGUAUUCAAUUGUCAGAGGUGAAAUUCUUGGAUUUAUUGAAGACUAACUACUGCGAAAGCAUUUGCCAAGGAUGUUUUCAUUAAUCAAGAACGAAAGUUAGGGGAUCGAAGACGAUCAGAUACCGUCGUAGUCUUAACCAUAAACUAUGCCGACUAGGAAUCAGACGAUGUUAAUUUUUUAAUGACUCGUUUGGU
RNAcentral lists this ribosomal RNA (520 nucleotides) under uncultured Entrophospora. RNAcentral describes it as "SSU rRNA". It matches the Rfam family "Eukaryotic small subunit ribosomal RNA", at positions 569 to 1084 of the family's 1831-position model. Lineage: Eukaryota; Fungi; Glomeromycota; Glomeromycetes; Entrophosporales; Entrophosporaceae. The record is from RNAcentral.